This 497-nucleotide ribosomal RNA is filed under the name uncultured bacterium. RNAcentral describes it as "partial 16S ribosomal RNA". It matches the Rfam family "Bacterial small subunit ribosomal RNA", at positions 28 to 507 of the family's 1533-position model. The record is from RNAcentral.
GAUGAACGCUGGCGGCGUGCCUAAUACAUGCAAGUCGAGCGAACGGACGAGAAGCUUGCUUCUCUGAUGUUAGCGGCGGACGGGGGAGUAACACGUGGAAAACCUACCUAUAAGACUGGGAUAACUUCGGGAAACCGUAGCUAAUACCGGAAAAUAUUUUGAACCGCAGGGUUCAAAAGUGAAAGACGGUCUUGCGGUCACUUAUAGAUGGAUCCGCGCUGCAUUAGCUAGUUGGUAAGGUAACGGCUUACCAAGGCAACGAUGCAUAGCCGACCUGAGAGGGUGAUCGGCCACACUGGAACUGAGACACGGUCCAGACUCCUACGGGAGGCAGCAGUAGGGAAUCUUCCGCAAUGGGCGAAAGCCUGACGGAGCAACGCCGCGUGAGUGAUGAAGGUCUUCGGAUCGUAAAACUCUGUUAUUAGGGAAGAACAUAUGUGUAAGUAACUGUGCACAUCUUGACGGUACCUAAUCAGAAAGCCACGGCUAACUACGUG